GACGAACGCUGGCGGCGCGCUUAACACAUGCAAGUCGUGCGAUACCUCGAGCGAGUCUUACGACAAGCUCAAGGUAGAGCGGCGGAUGGGUGAGUAACACGUGAGUAGCUGUCCUAAGGAGGGGGAUAACGCCUGGAAACGGGUGCUAAAACCCCAUAUGCCUCGCAAGAGGUGAAAGUGUAUUACUGCAGCCUUAGGGUGUGCUCACGGCCUAUCAGCUAGUUGGUGAGGUAAUGGCUCACCAAGGCUAAGACGGGUAGCCGGCCUGAGAGGGUGUACGGCCACACUGGAAUUGAGAUACGGUCCAGACUCCUACGGGAGGCAGCAGUGGGGAAUCUUGGGCAAUGGGCGAAAGCCUGACCCAGCGACGCCGCGUUGGGGAUGAAGCCCUUCGGGGUGUAAACCCAUGUUGUAGGGGACGAAGAAAGUGACGGUACCCUACGAGGAAGCCCCGGCUAACUACGUGCCAGCAGCCGCGGUAAGACGUAGGGGGCGAGCGUUGUCCGGAAUUACUGGGCGUAAAGGGCACGCAGGCGGUGCGCCAAGUCGAGGGUGUAAAGUUACGGCUCAACCGUGACAUUGCAAUCGAUACUGGCGCGCUGGAGUGCGGGAGAGGGAAGUGGAAUUCCCGGUGUAGCGGUGAAAUGCGUAGAUAUCGGGAGGAACGCCAGUGGCGAAGGCGGCUUCCUGGCCCGCGACUGACGCUCAUGUGCGAAAGCCAGGGGAGCGAACC
RNAcentral lists this ribosomal RNA (733 nucleotides) under uncultured Acetomicrobium sp. RNAcentral describes it as "bacterial SSU rRNA". It matches the Rfam family "Bacterial small subunit ribosomal RNA", at positions 28 to 774 of the family's 1533-position model. The record is from RNAcentral. Lineage: Bacteria; Thermotogati; Synergistota; Synergistia; Synergistales; Acetomicrobiaceae.